This 402-nucleotide ribosomal RNA is filed under the name uncultured prokaryote. Its description in RNAcentral is "bacterial SSU rRNA". It matches the Rfam family "Bacterial small subunit ribosomal RNA", at positions 355 to 774 of the family's 1533-position model. The record is from RNAcentral.
UAACGAAUCUUCCCCAAUGCACGAAAGUGUGAGGGAGCGACGCCGCGUGGAGGACGAAGUCCUUCGGGAUGUAAACUCCUGUCAGGGGUUACCAAGUUCUGAGGAACCCCAGAGGAAGAGGCGGCUAACUCUGUGCCAGCAGCCGCGGUAAGACAGAGGCCUCAAGCGUUAGGCGGAAUCACUGGGCUUAAAGCGUGUGUAGGCGGGUCGUUAAGUACCUUGUGAAAUCCCACCGCUCAACGGUGGAACGGCUGGGUAUACUGGCGACCUUGGGCCACUCAGGGGCAACUGGAACAAGCGGUGGAGCGGUGAAAUGCGUAGAUAUCGCUUGGAACGCCGAAGGUGAAGACAGGUUGCUGGGGGUGUGCCGACGCUGAGACACGAAAGCCAGGGGAGCAAACG